This 351-nucleotide unclassified non-coding RNA is filed under the name soil metagenome. RNAcentral's name for it is "partial contains 5.8S ribosomal RNA, internal transcribed spacer 2, and large subunit ribosomal RNA". The stretch from base 1 to 120 matches the Rfam family "5.8S ribosomal RNA", at positions 35 to 154 of the family's 154-position model. The record is from RNAcentral.
GAUGAAGAACGCAGCGAAAUGCGAUACGUAAUGUGAAUUGCAGAAUUCAGUGAAUCAUCGAGUCUUUGAACGCACAUUGCGCCCCCUGGUAUUCCGGGGGGCAUGCCUGUCCGAGCGUCAUUGCUGCCCUCAAGCACGGCUUGUGUGUUGGGCCUCCGUCCUCCUCCCGGGGGACGGGCCCGAAAGGCAGCGGCGGCACCGCGUCCGGUCCUCGAGCGUAUGGGGCUUCGUCACCCGCUCGAUUAGGGCCGGCCGGGCGCCAGCCGGCGUCUCCAACCUUCUAUUUUACCAGGUUGACCUCGGAUCAGGUAGGGAUACCCGCUGAACUUAAGCAUAUCAAUAAGCGGAGGA